CGCUAACAAAGCUUGCCUUCAAAGCCGAUUACAAGCACACAGAUAGCUCUCCUAUCAAGAUGCAAUAGAACUGCUGGGGACUUACAUAGCACUGCAGAUGGUAGCGACUUACCCUGAGCCCCUCCCAGGAGAUUCUAUGUUUUUCAAGGUUUCGGUGAUCGAAUUCCAUUUAUCAGACUUCGCAGCAAACCUCCUUACCUGUGGAGCCAUCCUGCCUGCCCUUGGGAAACUUUUGAAUUAUAAAAGUUGUCUAUGGCUUUUCAUGGAUUUUUGAUGAGGAUGCUGCUGAAUAGAGACCGGCGAGAACCAGCCUCCUUCUUCUACUUGAAGAUGCAGAGGGAACAUUUUCAAAGUUCCUCCUUUGAACUCAUUGUUCAGGAUUUUACUGUGGCUACUGAAUAGCAGAUUAUUAAUGUACCUUAUUUUUCCUAAUGUCCAAUAGCUUUGCAUAGUAAGCCAUAUGUUGAAUUUUAGCAAGUGUUAUUUUUCUCCGCAUGUAUUGAGCUGACUCCUUAGGCUCCUAGACUCACAGUGGGCUCUCCCCUGACAAACCCCUUCGAAGUGGGAAGUAACACAAGUCUAAAAUGUGUUUGAUACAUGGAAUCACUGAGCACUGUGGCUCAGGGGCAUAGUAUCCUGGGGGUUGUCAGCUGCCCCCUGGCCAUCCUGGGGUGACUGGGAUCAGCCUCAUGGCUGCUGCCUAGAGUCUUCAGUGUUUUGCUGCAUACUGCUAACCCAAGAAAGGUCAAAAUUCAAAAUGACAAGUGCAGUUUCUGCUAAAUGUGUAUUACUUUCACGCCAUCAAAAAGUUGAAAAAUCAUGGGCCUGUUUUGUUGCCGUUGAUAUACUGGUUUCCAGUAACAGGACAUGUAUAGCAUCAUGCAUCCUAGUAUCCUGGAACAAGUCAGGUUUGCACAUUGUGGAUUUUCCCUUUACAUAUUGCUAGAGUUGGUUUAUAAAUACUUUGCUUAGCUGUUUACACCUGUGUUUACAUGUACAAUUGCCCUGUGAUUUUUUUCUCUCACCCUAUUCUUUACUGGAUUGUAGUAUUGAUAUUCUAGUUUCACAAAAUAAAGAAGGGAAUAUACCUACUUUUGCUACUUUUUGGAAAAUUUUGUACAAGAUUGACAUCAAAUCUUUAAAAAUUUAAAAAUAUCUGGUUGAGCUUAACAUUCGGUGACAAGUUUAUUUUAAAUUUCAGAUUUUCCAGUUUUAUUUUUUUUUCUUGUGCUAAUCUUGGUAAGUAACAUUUCCUUGAGGUUUAUAUUCCUCUGCAUUUUGAAGUUUAUUGGCAGCUGUUUGUGAUACCCUCACGACAUUCCGCAAAUGUCUCCAACAGACGCAAUACAGCCACUCUUCCUCUGCUGACACUAAGAGCGGGGGGGGGGGGGGUGUUCCCCUUUUCUGUCCUGUUUUGUCUGAACAGAUUUAUUGCUUUUAUUAGUUAUUACAUUUUUAUUAUGUUUAUUUAUGAAUUGAUGAGGGGUACACCAGGCACACACGUGGAGGUUAGAGCACAGCUUUUAGGAUUUGGCUCUCUCCUACCAUGUGGGGCCAGGAGAUUGGGCUGAGGUAUUGGGAGCUGGCAACAAGCUCUUUGACUCGUCUCAGCGGCCUCUUUAUCAGUUAUUUUAAAGAACCAAAUUCUGACUUUUAAAAAUCUUCUCUAUUAUCUCUUUUUUCUUUCAGCAUUGCUGCUAACAUUCUUUUAGGGGAAGACCUAAACAAUGUCUAUCUCUCCUCUGAAGGUCCAGGCUACUGCCCAAGAUACAAUGCUACCACAGUUCAUCCUGGGGGAAGCAAGGAGUUUUUUAGGCUGCCGUACAGCGAGUGGGCAAGCAUGUGCAGGCAGGAACACGGAUGGUUCUAAAGCAGCCUCUGGGAGGUCUGCAUCCCGAGUGAUUCCCCCAUGGCUGUGUACUUGGCAUGCCACUCUUCAGGGAGUCCGUCCUUGGCUACAGAAUGCUAGCCCCUCCCUGAGGCCAUAUGCAAUCAGGGCAGAACUGUAUACAACUGGUUGAGAUGAGUGGCUGGAUACCUGGGUGAGGGCCCCUGACCUUCUCCACCCUCCUCCCAUGAAGGAGUGUCAGCAGUAAGCAUUUGCAAGUUGAGUUCACGAAGGUGGUGGCAAUUUGCCUUGGGGGACAGUCCUGUAAGACAUUUCUUUUUCUUGAGUUUAGUGCACAUCAGGACAAGACUAUUUCACUUCUAAACUCUUCUAGAACUCCU
Molecule: long non-coding RNA, 2229 nt
Organism: Mus musculus (house mouse)
Lineage: Eukaryota; Metazoa; Chordata; Mammalia; Rodentia; Muridae
Product: RIKEN cDNA A930006I01 gene
Exons: 3
Source: RefSeq, marked validated